This is a long non-coding RNA of Actinia tenebrosa (Australian red waratah sea anemone), 289 nucleotides long. NCBI's taxonomy places the organism in Eukaryota, Metazoa, Cnidaria, Anthozoa, Actiniaria, Actiniidae. The record is from RefSeq and is a predicted model, not a curated record.
GUUCGUUAGUUGUAUUUUCAGUUGACCGGUGUUGACCAAUUAUCUAAGAAUACAACCGUCUUUCAAAAAGAUCAGCCACGCUCAUAGAUUCUUCCACUUCAAACCGAUCAAGCCUGAAUGUGUAGCUCCAAUGAAUACAAGUUGGCAUCAGAAUUCACAUCAACAAUGGUCUACAACGAGGUACGACCCCACCGAAAAAAUCCAGAGUAACACGGCAGAGACAGAGAAGAUCGACCAUUCAAGUCCUUAUCCUUAAAGCUUGAGGCAUCCAAGAUGUAUUGCAACUGAG